GGGCCGCUAGCUCAGGUGGUAGAGCACCGGCCUUUUAAGCCGGGUGUCGUGGGUUCGAACCCCACGCGGCUCACCA
This 76-nucleotide transfer RNA is filed under the name Bacillota bacterium. RNAcentral describes it as "Firmicutes bacterium (marine metagenome) tRNA-Lys". It matches the Rfam family "tRNA". Rfam says of the family: Transfer RNA (tRNA) molecules are approximately 80 nucleotides in length. Their secondary structure includes four short double-helical elements and three loops (D, anti-codon, and T loops). Lineage: Bacteria; Bacillati; Bacillota. The record is from RNAcentral. RNAcentral also lists the same sequence under 3 other names.